Neonectria punicea is the source of this 83-nucleotide non-coding RNA. NCBI's taxonomy places the organism in Eukaryota, Fungi, Ascomycota, Sordariomycetes, Hypocreales, Nectriaceae. The record is from the annotation of a GenBank genome assembly.
GGGGAGCUGGCGCAAUUGGUAGCGCGUCAGAUUCCAGUCAUGGAACGACCUGAAGGUUAUCCGUUCGAGUCGGGUGUUCCUCA